Molecule: long non-coding RNA, 1850 nt
Filed under: Nicotiana tabacum (common tobacco)
Lineage: Eukaryota; Viridiplantae; Streptophyta; Magnoliopsida; Solanales; Solanaceae
Description: long non-coding RNA (NTAB_LNC014634)
Source: RNAcentral
ACAUUUGCAAAAUUCUUCUUCCUCACAACCGACUCAGUCACCAUUCCCUCCUGCUACGAGCAAAAACCCUAGAUUCCUUUCUUUAUCUGCUUCAUGAAAAAAGAGGAAUUUCAAGAGCUCUUUUGAUUCAUUGAGCUUUCUUUGGAAGCUAAAGUUUCUAAAUUCUUUUUCUGUUACCUUAUUGUGCAUUAACUACUCAAGUUCACUGUAUUCUUAACAACCUUCUAACUUGUUCUAUAGAACAAGACAAAGAGAUGACAUUCUUGCGUUUGAAUUUUCAUCGACUAAUGCUUUCCAUCCUUGAAAAGCAUAAGAAUUUAUUGAUUAAUAUUUAUCUAUUCAAAUGUUUGCUUGUGUAUGUACAUAAUCAUGUGUAAGAGUACUGUUGAUUCUGAUCUCAUAUUUCAGUUGAGAUCCUGGGUUGUAGUUUUGUAUCAUUAAUCCUGUGGCUAUUAUAGUUAGAACUCUAACUCCCGAUGUAAUUUCCCUGAUAGUUGUAGGUAAUUUACACCAGAAAAGAGAACCUGUUUCUAGUUUCUUAAUGAGGUUUUGGAGAUUGAAAUUAGAUACAACGCCAUAAUUAAUUUAGGCAUCUCAUAUUUCAAUUGAGACAACAAGAAGUCACACUUCAAUAGAAUUAAGGGCAGAUGUCAUUUUCUCAGUAAGUUCAGUGGAAUAAAUUAAGAGUAGAAGUUGCAAGUCAACUAAAUUUAAGUGCAUAUAUUAUUCUCUCUCUAAUACACAAAGGCUAUAAAAUGUAUAAGCUAAAUAUUGGAAAUAUUCUGCUUUGAUAGAUUUAUGAAUUUAAUUAUACGACUCCAUGGGAUAAAACAAGCUGGUAAUGUGGUACUCAGUGUGGGAAUCUUCAAAAUCCGAUAUUUCUAACAAUAAAACACCUGUAGUACCCUAUUUACUGGCGUGUAUGUACACAUUUUUGGGAUGCAUACUGUUUUAUUUGUACUUUCUUAAACCGGGGAAUGUAAUCAUUUUUGUUUUUGUUGAUACAUCAGGGUGAACUUUCUUUUGAUAUGGAUUCGUCUAUUUGGGUCCACUUGAAAAUCAAGGUUUCAUAAUCUUACACUCUAAUUGGGUUUCUUCAUGAUUUUUUGGUAGAAAAAAGUGCUGACUGUCCUGACUUAUUUAGUUACAGAUGAAAGCAAUUAUACAGCAAGCACUUGGCAGUAUAACUUGUAUUUCAAUGCACGGCUUGGUAAGUUCACAUGUAUAGCUCUUUUAUUGUUCUUUUUGUUUGACAUAUCUCAUCUAUUUUAAUUCACAGGCGUGAUCGAGCAAGAUGCUUUAAAUGAGAUAUCUUGUCAGCAAGUUCUGAAGAUACUGAUGAUAUACUGAUGCUCCAGAGCCAAUUGGCCUGUACCGAUGAGAAAUUGUCUGAUAUGUUCUUUGCUGCAUUAGGUAAGCAACCUCCACUUCCAACCAAGAGGUUGUGAGUUCGAGUCUCCCCAAGAACAAGGUGGAAAGUUCUUGGAGGGAAGGAUGUCAGGGGUCUAUUUGGAAACAGCCUCUCUACCCCAGGGUAGGGGUAAGGUCUGCGUACACACUACCCUCCUCAGACCCCACUAAGUGGGAUUAUACUGGGUUGUUGUUGUUGUUGUUCUUUGCUGCAUUAAAUAAAAAGAUUGAUAACCUGGAUAGUGUGCUAAGGGCCUUAAAGGAUGAGAAUGAGCAGGUUUGCUUUUUGAAAUUAUCACAUGCAUGUUGUUAUCUAUUGUUCACUUAAGUCAGUUUCCUUAAUCAGUACAUCCUCUACUAAAUAUUUGGUGUGUACUUGUAUCCAUAGUGCUAGUGGAAUAGCCAACAUUGGAUGGCUUAUGUUAGGUGGAAAAAACCUG